GAGCAACUUAGGAUUUUAGGCUCCGCCGCCCGGUCCAACCGCCGGGCGGCGACAAACCGGCCGGGGCUGGCGGUCCCGUGUGCGGUCAAAAUCUAUCCGCCGGAG
RNAcentral lists this non-coding RNA (105 nucleotides) under uncultured Gemmiger sp. Its description in RNAcentral is "PreQ1-III riboswitch". It matches the Rfam family "PreQ1-III (pre queuosine) riboswitch aptamer". Lineage: Bacteria; Bacillati; Bacillota; Clostridia; Eubacteriales; Oscillospiraceae. The record is from RNAcentral.